Triticum aestivum (bread wheat) is the source of this 136-nucleotide non-coding RNA. NCBI's taxonomy places the organism in Eukaryota, Viridiplantae, Streptophyta, Magnoliopsida, Poales, Poaceae. The record is from Rfam.
CAAAUACUCCCUCCGUCCGGAAAAUACUUGUCAUCAAAAUGGAUAAAAGGAAAUGUAUCUAGACGUAUUUUAGUUUUAGAUACAUCUAUUUUUAUCCAUUUUGAUGACAAGUAUUUUCGGACGGAGGGAUUAGAAA